RNAcentral lists this unclassified non-coding RNA (271 nucleotides) under Peniophora albobadia. RNAcentral describes it as "partial internal transcribed spacer region". The stretch from base 1 to 46 matches the Rfam family "Eukaryotic small subunit ribosomal RNA", at positions 1786 to 1831 of the family's 1831-position model. The record is from RNAcentral. Lineage: Eukaryota; Fungi; Basidiomycota; Agaricomycetes; Russulales; Peniophoraceae.
AAGUCGUAACAAGGUUUCCGUAGGUGAACCUGCGGAAGGAUCAUUAGCGAAGUUCGGAAUGCAUGUUCGAUGUUGAUGCUGCCCAGCAAUGGGAUGUGCUCGCUCGGAUGUGUGUCCCUUCUCUAUCCACCCCAUUGUGAACCAAGCGUGUGAGCCGAAGAGAAAUCGGACGCUCGCAUGCAAACCUUUAACAUACCCCAAUAAAGUAUCAGAAUGUACCUUGCGUUAACUCGCACAAAUAUAACUUUCAACAACGGAUCUCUUGGCUCUC